RNAcentral lists this ribosomal RNA (541 nucleotides) under Funneliformis coronatus. RNAcentral describes it as "SSU rRNA". It matches the Rfam family "Eukaryotic small subunit ribosomal RNA", at positions 548 to 1098 of the family's 1831-position model. The record is from RNAcentral. Lineage: Eukaryota; Fungi; Glomeromycota; Glomeromycetes; Glomerales; Glomeraceae.
UUGGAGGGCAAGUCUGGUGCCACAGCCGCGGUAAUUCCAGCUCCAAUAGCGUCUUUAAGUUGAUGCAGUUAAAAAGCUCGUACUGAAUUUCGGGAUCAAUAUAACGGUCAUGCCGUUGGUAUGCACUGUUAAAUUAUUUCUCACCUUCUAAAGAACCGUAAUGCCAUUAAUUGGUGUCACGGGGAAUUAGGACUGUUACCUUGAAAAUUAGAGUGUUUAAAGCAGGCUCACGCUUGAAUACAUUAGCAUGGAAUAAUGAAAUAGGACAUCCGAUUCUAUUUUGUUGGUUUCUAGGAUCGAUGUAAUGAUUAAUAGGGAUAGUUGGGGGCAUUAGUAUUCAAUUGUCAGAGGUGAAAUUCUUGGAUUUAUUGAAGACUAACUACUGCGAAAGCAUUUGCCAAGGAUGUUUUCAUUAAUCAAGAACGAAAGUUAGGGGAUCGAAGACGAUCAGAUACCGUCGUAGUCUUAACCAUAAACUAUGCCGACUAGGGAUCGGAUGAUGUUAAUUUUUUAAUGACUCAUUCGGCGCCUUACGGGAAAC